GGGCUGGCUCAGCGGUUAAGAGCACUGGCUGCUCUUCCAGAGGACCUGGGUUCAACUCUCAGAGCCCA
RNAcentral lists this transfer RNA (68 nucleotides) under Rattus norvegicus (Norway rat). It matches the Rfam family "tRNA". From Rfam's summary of the family: Transfer RNA (tRNA) molecules are approximately 80 nucleotides in length. Their secondary structure includes four short double-helical elements and three loops (D, anti-codon, and T loops). The record is from Rfam by way of RNAcentral. Lineage: Eukaryota; Metazoa; Chordata; Mammalia; Rodentia; Muridae.